This 605-nucleotide ribosomal RNA is filed under the name uncultured bacterium. RNAcentral describes it as "bacterial SSU rRNA". It matches the Rfam family "Bacterial small subunit ribosomal RNA", at positions 888 to 1498 of the family's 1533-position model. The record is from RNAcentral.
GCAAGAUUAAAACUCAAAGGAAUAGACGGGGACCCGCACAAGUGGUGGAGCAUGUGGUUUAAUUCGAAGAUACGCGAAGAACCUUACCUAGCCUUGACAUUGAUAGAACACAGUAGAGAUACAGUGGUGCCCUUCGGGGAACUUGAAAACAGGUGCUGCACGGCUGUCGUCAGCUCGUGUCGUGAGAUGUUGGGUUAAGUCCCGCAACGAGCGCAACCCUCGUCACUAGUUACUAACGAUUCGGUCGAGGACUCUAGUGAGACUGCCUUCGUAAGGAGGAGGAAGGUGAGGACGACGUCAAGUCAUCAUGGCCCUUACGGCUAGGGCUACACACGUGCUACAAUGGUUAGGACAGUGAGAAGCGAUACCGCGAGGUGGAGCAAAUCUAUAAACCUAAUCUCAGUUCGGAUUGUUCUCUGCAACUCGAGAACAUGAAGCUGGAAUCACUAGUAAUCGUAGAUCAGCAAUGCUACGGUGAAUACGUUCCCGGGUCUUGUACUCACCGCCCGUCACACCAUGGGAGUUGAUUUCACCCGAAGCGGGGAAGCUAAACUGGCUACCCUCCACGGUGGAAUUAGCGACUGGGGUGAAGUCGUAACAAGGUA